This 253-nucleotide ribosomal RNA is filed under the name uncultured bacterium. RNAcentral describes it as "partial 16S ribosomal RNA". It matches the Rfam family "Bacterial small subunit ribosomal RNA", at positions 524 to 776 of the family's 1533-position model. The record is from RNAcentral.
UACAGAGGGUGCGAGCGUUAAUCGGAAUUACUGGGCGUAAAGCGUGCGUAGACGGUUAUGUAAGUCGGAUGUGAAAGCCCGGGGCUCAACCCCGGAGGUGCAUCCGAAACUCUGGGGCUGGAGGUCGGAAGAGGAGGGUGGAAUACCCAGUGUAGAGGUGAAAUUCGUAGAUAUUGGGUGGAACACCGGUGGCGAAAGCGGCUCUCUGGUCCGGACCUGACGCUGAGGCGCGAAAGCGUGGGGAGCAAACAGG